UGAUCAAAACCCUCAGGGCGCCAUUGAGAUGGGACACCUAUCCGACGGUGGUCCAUGUGCAAUCUGAGGACCAUCUGACUGCAAUUUACAUAUUCCGAUGGCAGCAAAAUGGAAUCCAAAACAAUUUGAGCACAUACAAAGGGAACCGCGAGAUGGAUCUUGCACGGCAAAGUCUGCCGGUAUGACCUGCACGUGCCACGUGCUAUCAAAACCAAAAGCUCUGUGCGCAUGCUGCUGCAAAUCUGAACAGGCUGUUAUAUCCACAAUAGAUGUUACAGUACAGAUAUUUGUCCAUUCCUUCCCAUGGGCCACGUAAAUAAUGUGAAUAUUGUCUGUAUCAUAUCCAUGUAUAACACGAGCAGCUGUGCCUCUCUGUGGUGCCCAGUAACACAUCAUUGCAUCCGUCAGACUCAGAGAUGAACGGAUCUAACCGCUGUAAUAUAUGAUCACCUUCUAACUCUGUAGGAGAUAUGACAUGGAACUGUUGUGUCAGGCCAUGACAGAAUUGAUAAACAUGAAUCUCACCUCCAACAGCUGUCCAGGAGUGUUUCACGGUGCAGAUGUGGAUGUGGGGCCGAAACCGCAGCCUGUGGUUAAAAUCAUCUCACCCAACAUAAAAAAAUUAUUCCCAAGUGAUAAUCCAACCAUCACAGUGUCCUGAGUUGCGCUGUGCUCAUGAAGUGGGCUCUGUCUGACGCAGGGGACAGCAUGGCACACUGCCAGCAAACUUUCAGUGAAGCUGUUCAGUGGAACUGAGCGCGUGUAUCCCACGGCUCAUGAAGCGUUAUGCACACACAUACACACACAGAGACAUGGCUGAGUGAUAAUUACAGCCCCACACGUGUGCGCAGAGCACACGUGCAUGACGAAAACAGUGCUCCAGUCCCGUGUUUGCCAUCCAGACAUUUGGACAUCGGGCAGGCUUCAGCGCUUUUUAUGGCCAUUUGACAGCAGUCUGUGUCAUCUAACUGUUGUUCACAUGCGCUUUGGAUGCCAUCAUGCAGGUGUGAACGAGGUGAUCCAGAUGCGUUCUGACAUGGCUGUCCACACCUCUUUUCCGCUCGACUGAGGCGGAUUAUGGUAACAUUUGCCAAUUUCGGGGUAUAGUUCCUGCGCAUUGUUGCUAUGUGUGACGGGGCUUCACUUUUAAACCAACAUGAAUUCAUGAGCGCAAGUGUACAUGCUAAUUAAAGAAUGUAGACUUUGGCCAUCAAAAUGUGACAAUUGUACAUGGUGGAAACUAGCAGUGAGACUAGCACUGUGCUGUAUGUCUCUUUGCACCAGGUGUAAGAUAGGGCCCAUUAACUGAUGCAACACUGAUUUAGAUGACUAAAAAUGAUGUUGCAGAGGAGGUUGAUGUAGCAAAUGAACAACUGACGCAACUUACCAGGCUUUUUUUUUCCCCUAUGGUGCGCAAACUGCGACUUCACAAGCUGCUUUUGUUUUGAUUGUACAGUUUUGAUUUUGGUGUCAGAUUAUUUACAACAUACAGAAUUAUAUUCCUUCUAUGUUAAAUCCAAUUUAUUGGUGUCACAGGUCAAAACUGGUGUUUCUUGUGUGCUUCAAGAAAAAUGUCAAAUGAAUCAAUAAGAAAUGCAGGAUAUGUUAGUGUUUUCAGACGCAGGU
Molecule: long non-coding RNA, 1626 nt
Organism: Thalassophryne amazonica
Lineage: Eukaryota; Metazoa; Chordata; Actinopteri; Batrachoidiformes; Batrachoididae
Exons: 3
Source: RefSeq, a predicted model, not a curated record